UCCCUAGUAGUUCAGCUGGUAAAGAAUCUGCCUGCAAUGCAGGAGACCCUGGUUUGAUUCCUGGGUUGGGAA
This 72-nucleotide transfer RNA is filed under the name Bos taurus (domestic cattle). It matches the Rfam family "tRNA". From Rfam's summary of the family: Transfer RNA (tRNA) molecules are approximately 80 nucleotides in length. Their secondary structure includes four short double-helical elements and three loops (D, anti-codon, and T loops). Further hydrogen bonds mediate the characteristic L-shaped molecular structure. tRNAs have two regions of fundamental functional importance: the anti-codon, which is responsible for specific mRNA codon recognition, and the 3' end, to which the tRNAs corresponding amino acid is attached (by aminoacyl-tRNA synthetases). tRNAs cope with the degeneracy of the genetic code in two manners: having more than one tRNA (with a specific anti-codon) for a particular amino acid; and 'wobble' base-pairing, i.e. permitting non-standard base-pairing at the 3rd anti-codon position. Lineage: Eukaryota; Metazoa; Chordata; Mammalia; Artiodactyla; Bovidae. The record is from Rfam by way of RNAcentral. RNAcentral also lists the same sequence under 4 other names.